UAUUCUCAACUCCAGCAGCUUUUUUGCUCUUGGAGCUUGGAUGUGGAGGCUUUGCUGGCCCUUGGUCAGCUCCUCUGAAAUAUAUUAGCGGAACCGUUUGCGAUCCGUCACAGGUGUGAUAAUUAUCUACGCCAGUGGGUUGCUCUCUGUCUGUUCAGCUCAUAAUUGUCCUGUAACAUGGACAAACUUAUAAUGAAC
RNAcentral lists this unclassified non-coding RNA (198 nucleotides) under uncultured Micropsalliota. RNAcentral's name for it is "sequence contains ITS2". The record is from RNAcentral. Lineage: Eukaryota; Fungi; Basidiomycota; Agaricomycetes; Agaricales; Agaricaceae.